AUGUGGUGCCCCAUCGACAAUCUGAAGGAGAAUUUAAACGAGAUUUCUCCAAUAUGCAUCACUCCGACGUCGAUGAAGACGGCUUCGUUUCUCGAACAGCCGGUCCCAAACCAAGUUGCUAAUGAUUCCGAUGGUUGUAUCUUAACAUUUACACUAAACUGUCCAGGAGCCCCUCAUGUAUGGUAUAUUGUGUCUGCUUUGUGUACGUCGCAGAGAGAUCCUUUUUCUAUUCAUCAAGGAUCCUUUAUAAAGAAAAAUCAUUGGUCUAAUGGCGAUUAA
This is a non-coding RNA of Vicia faba (fava bean), 279 nucleotides long. The record is from the annotation of a GenBank genome assembly. NCBI's taxonomy places the organism in Eukaryota, Viridiplantae, Streptophyta, Magnoliopsida, Fabales, Fabaceae.